This 485-nucleotide unclassified non-coding RNA is filed under the name Hevea brasiliensis (rubber tree). Lineage: Eukaryota; Viridiplantae; Streptophyta; Magnoliopsida; Malpighiales; Euphorbiaceae. The record is from RNAcentral.
CUAACUCCUCUUACUUUUCCCAUGCUUAUAUCACAUUUAAGCAGUGUUGUUAAAGGUGCAAAAAGGCAUCAGGCGAGGUGAGAUGACGCUGCCUCGCCUUGAUUGACAGAGGCGAGCGCCUCUCUCGCCCAGGCGCCGAGGCGAGAGAGGUUGCGCCUCUUUCAUUUUAAGCUCAAAUUUGCUUUUUUCUUUAGUGUUUCCUCUGCUCCAGCGCCAGCUCCAGCCAUGACAUCUCACUAUCUCGGGUAAGUUUUCUAUGUUCUUUUACUCCAAUUCCAGCUAUGAAAUCUCUACUUCUUGAGUCAGCUCCAUUACUGCCAAGCAUCCAGGUACUUAUUUUUUGCUUUUCAUCCUUCUAUCUUCUCCUUCUCCCACCGAUUUGGUUUUAUUUAUUUAUUUAUUUUUAAAUACUNNNNNNNNNNNNCUUGAAUUCAUGGUGUCAUGCUGUUAUGCUGCCCAAUUUUUUUUGUUUAUCAACACUCUGC